UUUAAUAUUAGACGUAAGCAAAAAUAUCUUAAAAUUUUAAUACUUGUUCUUAAAUAUGUGAGAAAUAUGAACAAAUUUUAUGCUAUAUAUAACAAUGCUUGCUUAAGUAGAAAAUAUCGUUAGGAUGUGAUGACUCACCAUUUGUGUGUACUUACUCUGCUACAUCUCGAAUAUCUUUUUGGAAAGUUACUGAAUCAAUUACAUAGACAAGUCCUUUUGCGGAUAAUUUGAAUUGA
Apis mellifera (honey bee) is the source of this 236-nucleotide long non-coding RNA. RefSeq lists it as uncharacterized. The record is from RefSeq and is a predicted model, not a curated record. NCBI's taxonomy places the organism in Eukaryota, Metazoa, Arthropoda, Insecta, Hymenoptera, Apidae. The transcript is spliced from 2 exons.